This is a microRNA precursor of Oryza sativa Japonica Group (Japanese rice), 208 nucleotides long. It matches the Rfam family "MIR812 microRNA precursor family". The record is from Rfam. NCBI's taxonomy places the organism in Eukaryota, Viridiplantae, Streptophyta, Magnoliopsida, Poales, Poaceae.
AAUAAGUGCAGCCGUAGAUAUCCGUACCCAACGUUUAACCGUCCGUUUUAUUUAAAAAAUUUGUAAAAAAAUUAAAAGUAUUUAGUCACACAUAAACUACUGUUCAUGUUUUAUCAUCUAAUAGUAAUAAAAAUACUAGAUAUAAAAAUUUUUUAAAUAAAAUGAAUGGUCAAACGUUGAACGUUAAUAGUGCAAAACUGCACUUUUU